RNAcentral lists this transfer RNA (65 nucleotides) under Marmota monax (woodchuck). RNAcentral describes it as "tRNA.Ala". The record is from RNAcentral. Lineage: Eukaryota; Metazoa; Chordata; Mammalia; Rodentia; Sciuridae.
GGCUGGCUCAGUGGUAGAACACUUGCCUGGCAUGUAUGAGGUCCUGGGUUUGAUCCUCAGCACCA